RNAcentral lists this ribosomal RNA (433 nucleotides) under uncultured bacterium. RNAcentral's name for it is "partial 16S ribosomal RNA". It matches the Rfam family "Bacterial small subunit ribosomal RNA", at positions 29 to 507 of the family's 1533-position model. The record is from RNAcentral.
AACGAACGCUGGCGGCAUGCCUAACACAUGCAAGUCGAACGAAGCCUUCGGGCUUAGUGGCGCACGGGUGCGUAACGCGUGGGAAUCUGCCCCUUGCUUCGGAACAACAGCUAGAAAUGACUGCUAAUACCGGAUGAAGUCUUCGGACCAAAGAUUUAUCGGCAAGGGAUGAGCCCGCGGAGGUUUAGGUAGUUGGGGGGGUAAAGGCCUACCAAGCCGACGAUCCUUAGCUGGUCGGAGAGGAUGAGCAGCCACGCUGGGACUGAGACACGGCCCAGACUCCUACGGGAGGCAGCAGUGGGGAAUAUUGGACGAUGGACGCAAGUCUGAUCCAGCAAUGCCGCGUGAGUGAUGAAGGCCUUAGGGUUGUAAAGCUCUUUUACCAGGGAUGAUAAUGACAGUACCUGGAGAAUAAGCUCCGGCUAACUCCGUG